Molecule: long non-coding RNA, 525 nt
Filed under: Zonotrichia albicollis (white-throated sparrow)
Lineage: Eukaryota; Metazoa; Chordata; Aves; Passeriformes; Passerellidae
Description: lncRNA (ENSZALG00000003050.1)
Source: RNAcentral
GAAGAAAAGGACAGGGAUCAGAAAAGGAGGAAGAGAAAUGGAAGAGGACAAAGGGAUGGGAAGAAAAGGUUGGAAGAAAAGGUUGGAAGAAGUGAAUGGGGGUUGGAAAAGAGGAAGAAAAGGACAGGGAUCAGAAAAGGAGGAAGAUAAAUGGAAGAGCAGGAAGGGAUGGGAAGAAAAGGUUGGAAAAAGCUCCUCUCCCAUCCCAGGUGGGCUCUCAGGUAGAAGAGGAGGAAGGGAUGGGAGGAAAAAGUUGGAAGAAGUGAAUGGGGGUUCAAAAAGAGGAAGGGGUUGGAAAAAAGGAUAGGGAUCAGGAAAGGAGAAAGAGAAGUGGAAGAAGAAAGGGUUGGAAGAAAAGGUUGGAAGAAGUGAGUGGAGGCUGAAAAAGUGGAAGAAAAGGAUGGGGAUCAGAGGAGGAGAAAGAGGAAUGGAAGAGGAGGAAAGGGUUGGGAAGAAAAGGUUGGAAGAAGAGAAUUGGGAUUGAAAAGGAGGAAGGGGUGGAAGAAAAGGACAGGGAUCAGAAAA